AGAGAGAGACAUGCGCGCAUAUCAAUAAGCGGAGGAAAAGAAACUAACUAAGGAUUCCCUCUAGUAACGGCGAGUGAAGCGGGAAGAGCUCAAAUUUGAAAUCUUCAAGGUUCUACCUUGACGAAUUGUAGUUUAAAGAAGUGUUUUCUGUUGGAAGUUUAUGGUAAAAGUUCUUUGGAAUAGGACAUCAUAGAGGGUGAGAAUCCCGUAUUUGACCAUUAUUUUCCAGCUUCGUGAUACACUUUCAAAGAGUCGGAUUGUUUGGGAAUGCAGUCCAAAAUGGGUGGUAAAUUUCAUCUAAAGCUAAAUAUUGGCGAGAGACCGAUAGCGAACAAGUACCGUGAGGGAAAGAUGAAAAGAACUUUGAAAAGAGAGUUAAACAGUACGUGAAAUUGUCAAAAGGGAAGCGUUUGACACCAGUGUUGUUUUCUCGAAAAUCAAUUAAAAAAUGGCUAGGAUUUUGUAUUGUAUUGAGACCUUUAAUCAGCUUCACUGCACAUCUUUUCGUGAUCUUUUUUAAUGCACUUUUCGUUUAACAAGUCAACAUCAGUUUCUUUUGUUGUAAAAGGGUCAUUGGAAGGUGGCUUUCUUUUCGGAGAAAGUGUUUAUAGCCUUUGGCCUCUGCAAUCGGAGAGACUUGAGGUCUGCAGCGUAGACUCCUUCGGGGUUAGAUACAUUUGUGCUAAGUUAUAGCUUUUUAUAGACAACUUGUUGACUAUAAUUAGUCUUGUAGCUUACUCGCUUAUGCUAUUUUACCUACGCUUAGGAUGUUGAAGAUGUAGCACAUCAU
RNAcentral lists this ribosomal RNA (790 nucleotides) under uncultured Neocallimastigales. Its description in RNAcentral is "partial large subunit ribosomal RNA". It matches the Rfam family "Eukaryotic large subunit ribosomal RNA", at positions 23 to 620 of the family's 3401-position model. The record is from RNAcentral. Lineage: Eukaryota; Fungi; Neocallimastigomycota; Neocallimastigomycetes; Neocallimastigales.